Molecule: transfer RNA, 71 nt
Filed under: Xylonora corona
Lineage: Eukaryota; Metazoa; Mollusca; Bivalvia; Myida; Xylophagaidae
Description: tRNA-Met
Source: RNAcentral
GGGGGGAUAAACUAUAUAUAACAAGUUUUUGGGCUCAUAAUCCAAGCAAAGGGACCACUCCCUUCCCCCUG